UCCGGUCGGGAACUCAAAGGAGACUGCCAGUGAUAAACUGGAGGAAGGUGGGGAUGACGUCAAGUCAUCAUGGCCCUUACGACCAGGGCUACACACGUGCUACAAUGGCGCAUACAAAGAGAAGCGACCUCGCGAGAGCAAGCGGACCUCAUAAAGUGCGUCGUAGUCCGGAUUGGAGUCUGCAACUCGACUCCAUGAAGUCGGAAUCGCUAGUAAUCGUGGAUCAGAAUGCCACGGUGAAUACGUUCCCGGGCCUUGUACACACCGCCCGUCACACCAUGGGAGUGGGUUGCAAAAGAAGUAGGUAGCUUAACCUUCGGGAGGGCGCUUACCACUUUGUGAUUCAUGACUGGGGUGAAGUCGUAACAAGGUAACCGUAGGGGAACCUGCGGUUGGAUCACCUCCUUA
RNAcentral lists this ribosomal RNA (408 nucleotides) under Salmonella enterica. Its description in RNAcentral is "bacterial SSU rRNA". It matches the Rfam family "Bacterial small subunit ribosomal RNA", at positions 1126 to 1533 of the family's 1533-position model. RNAcentral also lists the same sequence under 1 other name. The record is from RNAcentral. Lineage: Bacteria; Pseudomonadati; Pseudomonadota; Gammaproteobacteria; Enterobacterales; Enterobacteriaceae.